Molecule: ribosomal RNA, 253 nt
Filed under: uncultured bacterium
Lineage: Bacteria
Description: partial 16S ribosomal RNA
Rfam family: Bacterial small subunit ribosomal RNA
Source: RNAcentral
UACGUAGGGAGCAAGCGUUGUCCGGAAUCAUUGGGCGUAAAGCGCGCGUAGGUGGCCUCGUAAGUCCGCUGUGAAAGUCAAAGGCUCAACCUUUGAAAGCCGGUGGAUACUGUGAGGCUAGAGUACGGAAGAGGCGAGUGGAAUUCCUGGUGUAGCGGUGGAAUGCGCAGAUAUCAGGAGGAACACCAAUAGCGCAGGCAGCUCGCUGGGACGUAACUGACACUGAGGCGCGAAAGCGUGGGGAGCGAACAGG